GGGAUUGUAGCUCAAUGGUAGAGCGCUUGCCUAGCAUGCGUGAGGCACUGGGUUCGAGCCCACAUACCCC
This 70-nucleotide transfer RNA is filed under the name Ictidomys tridecemlineatus (thirteen-lined ground squirrel). RNAcentral describes it as "Spermophilus tridecemlineatus (thirteen-lined ground squirrel) tRNA". It matches the Rfam family "tRNA". From Rfam's summary of the family: Transfer RNA (tRNA) molecules are approximately 80 nucleotides in length. Their secondary structure includes four short double-helical elements and three loops (D, anti-codon, and T loops). Lineage: Eukaryota; Metazoa; Chordata; Mammalia; Rodentia; Sciuridae. The record is from Rfam by way of RNAcentral.